CAAUAGCGUAUAUUAAAGUUGUUGCGGUUAAAAAGCUCGUAGUUGGAUUUCUGUUGAGGUCGGCCGGUCCCUACUUCGUAGGCGUAUCUGGUUCAGCCUUGGCAUCCUCCUAGGGAACGGUACUGCUCUUAACUGAGUGGUCCGGUAUCUAGGACUUUUACUUUGAGGAAAUUAGAGUGUUUACGGCAGGCAAUCGCCUUGAAUAUGUUAGCAUGGAAUAAUAAUAUAGGACCUUGGUUCUAUUUUGUUGGUUUCUAGGACUAAGGUAAUGAUUAAUAGGGAUAUUUGGGGGCAUUCGUAUUAACCGGUCAGAGGUGGAAUUCUUGGAUUCGGUUACGACGAACUACUGCGAAAGCAUUUGCCAAGGAUGUUUUCAUUGAUCAAGAACGAAAGUGUGGGGAUCGAAGACGAUCAGAUACCAU
Molecule: ribosomal RNA, 422 nt
Filed under: uncultured eukaryote
Lineage: Eukaryota
Description: SSU rRNA
Rfam family: Eukaryotic small subunit ribosomal RNA
Source: RNAcentral